This 757-nucleotide long non-coding RNA is filed under the name Homo sapiens (human). RNAcentral describes it as "long intergenic non-protein coding RNA 879". The record is from RNAcentral. Lineage: Eukaryota; Metazoa; Chordata; Mammalia; Primates; Hominidae.
GGCCAGAAGUCCAGGGCUAGGAGCCUCAGCCGGCGGACGCCAGGAAACAGGUCUAGGUUAAUAGCAGGUAAUUGUGACAAGUCCAGUGUGGGUUACUGGUCAUGAAGAAUCCAUUGUUGAUGACAUCCCAGAAGAGAACACUAAGUCUUAGCUUUCAUCUUACCCCUGAACUUCCCUUCCUCUGAAGAGUGGAAUACCACCCAGCAUCCUCUCACAUACAAAGAAAGAACAAAUUGCUGAUAGACACAGAUGUCCAUCAAUCUCAAAAGUCGUCAUGAAACCUCUGGAAGAAUUGAGCUGGUCGACUAUGCAAACAGUUGUCAAGAGCCUAUAAAAUAUGCAGCAUAAAAUUUUUCCUUUGUAGUCAAACCUGAUUAUUCCUCUUAGAUACUGGGAACAGAAUUUCACAGUCGUCAGAGAAUAUACCUUUUGUAUUUUCGUAUUAAAUAUGUACUCCUAUUACUUAACAAUUGUAGUUUAACUCCUUUUUUAGGUAAAAUUCUAAUUUUUCUCUUCUGUUAAAAAUUUCCAGUUCCAACACGAAGAUAAUAAAGAAUAUUAAUUUUAUCCUUAUUAACUUGAAGGAAGUAAUAUUUAUUUUUGUAUUUCUGUACUUAAGUAUAUCACAAAUACAGAUUUCUGUAGUUGGAGAAUUAAUAUAAAGUAACAUAGUAUUCAAUAAGAAGGGAUUUUUCUUUAUUAAAAAGAGGUCUGAAUUAUAAACUAAAUAUCUGUGUAACUUUGAACAAUUUAUUUA